Molecule: ribosomal RNA, 505 nt
Filed under: bacterium enrichment culture clone Cont63_3130
Lineage: Bacteria
Description: bacterial SSU rRNA
Rfam family: Bacterial small subunit ribosomal RNA
Source: RNAcentral
AGAGUUUGAUCCUGGCUCAGAACGAACGCUGGCGGCGUGCUUAACACAUGCAAGUCGAACGCGAAAAGUUUUCUUCGGAAGACGAGUAGAGUGGCGCACGGGUGAGUAACGCGUAAGUUAUCUACCUCGGCAUCUGGAAUAACUCACCGAAAGGUGUGCUAAUACCGGAUACGUUGGGAAAUCAAGAAAGGUGGCCUCUGAAUAUGCUACCGUGCUGAGAUGAGCUUGCGUACCAUUAGCUAGUUGGUAGGGUAAUGGCCUACCAAGGCAACGAUGGUUAGCGGGUCUGAGAGGAUGAUCCGCCACACUGGAACUGAAACACGGACCAGACUCCUACGGGAGGCAGCAGUGAGGAAUAUUGCGCAAUGGGGGCAACCCUGACGCAGCGACGCCGCGUGGAUGAUGAAGGCCUUCGGGUCGUAAAGCACUUUUUCUGAGGGGAUGAGCAAGGACAGUACCUCAGGAAUAAGUCUCGGCUAACUACGUGCCAGCCGCCGCGGUAAUA